AGAUGAGGAUUCAAAAUGAGAUUUUCUUGAAAUGACAGUCACCUUAUUUUGUUUUUUUUUUAUUUUUGUUGAGGUUUUUGAUGACCUCUUUGUUUCUUUGAUCCCUAAUUUUUCCUAGACCACUUCUUUAAAGCUUUUGGACCAUCGGGAUGCCCUGAUUUUGCCGAAAUUGUUUUGUGGUGUUUGACUUAGCGGGCUUUUCUUUAUGAAAGGUGGAGACUGCCACAUUAUUGGUGGAUGAGGAAUAAC
Molecule: long non-coding RNA, 249 nt
Filed under: Lathyrus oleraceus (garden pea)
Lineage: Eukaryota; Viridiplantae; Streptophyta; Magnoliopsida; Fabales; Fabaceae
Description: Pisum sativum (pea) long non-coding RNA (PSAT_LNC023079)
Source: RNAcentral